CCUAGCAAAAGUAGGCAGGGUCCUAGGAGAAUCAGUUAGAAUUGAGGUGUGUAGGAAGUGCGGGGAUCUGAGGGGCAGUAUCCCAGGUUCUUUCCGGACAGAAACAGGUAUAGGCUGGUAGAACAAGAAAGGGCGAGACAUCCAAGCACGUGUGUGCAUGUGUGUGUGUAGUGUUGUGUGUAUAUGCUCAUCUCUGUGCUCAUGUAUGCACGUGUGGAAAUAGGGGGAAAGUACUGUUCUUGACCAUUAUUAGCAAAGGGCCCUGGAAAACGACCUACCGGAAGAAGAGCUGCAGUAUUUUGGGAGUCCGAUAAUCUAUAUCCAGGGCUUGGGAGAACCAGAAUCUGUGUCUGGAGAUCAUCUGUUCCUAACCCAGAAAGAGUAAGCAUCUACACAGCCAGGGUAGGUGGCCAUAGGGAGUUUCUGCCAGGUUUCCCAUUCACCGUUCCCAAUCAGGACCUCAAAGCCAACCCUUUUAAAGGGCAAGGGCACAGAAGGGAGAUGAGGGGCGGGGACCUGGACUCCGAAGAUACCUGCGGGAGAGGACUGUGGCUGGGUCUUCAUAGCCUUCUUGGAAGCUGGAUCCAGAGCAGCCUUUGUUGCUCAGCCCUGCCAGCAGGAGGCACACUAUUCCACCUGUUCAUUGAAGAGAAGGUAGGAUGGGAGCAGGUGUAAAUUUCUCCUAUGACUUUAAAACACUAGCCGAUAUGCAGAUUGAAGAGAUUAAAAUUCUUGCUCCUUUCUUUUCUAUUUUUAUUACCGUGGGGAAGUCACUUAACCUCCCUAAGUCUUGAUUUCCCUAUUCUGUAAAAUGGGGGUACUAGCACUUGUAUUAUCUCACCUUUCUCCUCUGGGUCCGGGCUAUUAUUGUGAACAAAAGCUAACAGCAUAGUGGUGAGGAAAGAACUUUUAAACCAGUAAAGUAGUAUAAAAAUCUGAAUUAUUAUUAGAGUCUCUCCCCAAUUUUUUCUGUUUGGCACCUAAGUACUUUUCUUAUUCUAAAUUAUAUUUAUCUGUGUACCUAUCUCAUUCCUCUACUAGACUGUAAGCUCUACUUAACCAUAGGGGACUGUAUAAUUUUUUCAUCUUCAUAUCUCUGGUGCAUAACACAACAUUUGAUUUUAUAAUGCAUGCUUACAAAAUGCAUGUUGAAUGAAC
Molecule: long non-coding RNA, 1158 nt
Filed under: Vombatus ursinus (common wombat)
Lineage: Eukaryota; Metazoa; Chordata; Mammalia; Diprotodontia; Vombatidae
Description: lncRNA (ENSVURG00010023752.1)
Source: RNAcentral